RNAcentral lists this long non-coding RNA (351 nucleotides) under Nicotiana benthamiana. Its description in RNAcentral is "long non-coding RNA (NBEN_LNC036394)". The record is from RNAcentral. Lineage: Eukaryota; Viridiplantae; Streptophyta; Magnoliopsida; Solanales; Solanaceae.
CACCUUGGAGAUAAUUUUAUAGACUACAUUGCAACAUGCAAUAGGUUUAUAUUCUCCAUUCAGCUGCAUGGUUAUUCUUUGGGAUGAGAGUCAGUGUUGUUCUGUUGAUUAUCCUUAGCAUUUUUGAUGAGCUAAAGAACUCCUUCACACUUCCAAUGACAUAUUCCUUCACCACUGUCCAACAAUCCUUAAAGAAUUGAGAGCCAUACUCAUCUGGUCCUGGGGACUUGUCUCAUACUAUUGACCAUAGGGCUGCCUUUAUCUCUUUUUCUGAACUUGAGCUUCUAAUUCUCCCUUUGUUCUUAUUGAAUCACUUGCCCUUGUCUGACAAGGUUGUUGCAUACAUGUUUC